CUUGCGGCAAACCUGAACACACUUCUCCACCAAAUCACUAGUCCACGGCCAGUCUCACGGCAGGACUGGCAGAGUCAUCAUGUCGAUCGGCUACAGAUUGCUUUCGCUCCUUGUCAUCGUCGUUGGGUCGACGCUGACCUUCUCUGCAGCACAAGGCCUCGGCCAAGACUGCAGGCUGCUGUCUGGAGGUCCUGGCGUGUGUCGGAGGAUCACUCAGUGUCCGAGAGUAGCUCAGUUUGCCAGCAGGCGAGAAGUAAAAUACUGCGGUACACUUGGUCGACUCGCCAUCGUCUGUUGUCCUCAGGAUUCCACCUCAUGUUCCGGCACAGGGAAUAACGACGGCAUCGCUGCGCCGGUAGUUAAUUUCGAGUGCGGACGCCAGGCCACGAGGACCCUGUCGCCCUUCGGUGGUCCUCUGUCCCGCCGCCGUCGCCAGAGUCAAUUCGGCCAAGGUUUCGACAUCGGGAACCCACAGCCUACUGUGGUUGGCGGCAUAACGUCCGAAACCAGCGCCUGGCCGUGGAUGGCUCUUCUCGGCGAACUGGACAGCACCAAGACUCCAGACUGGUUCUGUGCAGGCUCUCUGAUCAACGACCAAUGGAUCCUCACCGCUGCUCACUGCUUGGAUUCCAGAACACCAAGCAUCAUACGACUCGGAGAACACGACUACGACGACCCGAGCGACACCAGACACGAGGACUACGGAAUCAGCCAAAUAGUCGUCUACCCACACUACGUCUCAGGACAAGCUUAUCACGACCUCGCACUCAUCAAACUUAGCAAAAAGGUUCAGAUAAAGAACUUCAUCCGACCUGUGUGCCUGCCGUGGAACCAGCGUAGCCCCUCUCGACUUGUGAACAGUGGAGUCACUGUCACAGGCUGGGGAAAUACUCAAGCAGGCGGCCACAGGAGUUCGUCGCUGCAGGAAGUUCAGGUGAAGGUGUUCCCGUCGUCCACCUGCCAUGCGCAGUACAAGGAACUGGUGUUCUUCAAUACAGUUUGGCCUUCUGGAAUCAGCGAAGAGACCGUGUGUGCUGGUACUACUGCAGGGGGCAAAGACGCUUGUCAGGGUGACUCUGGCGGUCCGGCUGUGCACUUCGAAUGCAAUCGAUACACACUGGCGGGGGUCAUCUCCCAGGGCUUCGGCUGUGGCCUUCGGGAUUACGCCGGCCUCUACGUCAACAUCCGGCAACUGUUCUACCUCCAAUGGAUCAAAGAGACUGCGUUUUAAGGACGGUUAUGCGGAUGCUCAUGAAUGGUGCUUCGGAUUCUUGGGAAUACUUCUGAUCCUAAUUUGAAAACACAUCAUACGAGUAGAAUAACUAAAGUUGGUUUUAACAAUCAAUUUUCCAAAACUGAAAAAAAGACCAGAACCGAAGCAGCAAUGCAACCUGGAGACUGAAAUGAACAAUAAAACCUUCAGGGAAAAAGGUUUCGCUUCUGCAAAUCAAAAAUCUUCACAGUAACUCCGUCUAACAGCUGGGUGUCUCUCUCUCUCUCUCUCUCUCUGUUGACU
RNAcentral lists this unclassified non-coding RNA (1516 nucleotides) under Penaeus chinensis. RNAcentral's name for it is "venom protease-like, transcript variant X2". Lineage: Eukaryota; Metazoa; Arthropoda; Malacostraca; Decapoda; Penaeidae. The record is from RNAcentral.